GAUGAGCGCUGGCGGCGUGCCUAAUACAUGCAAGUCGAGCGAACGGACGAGAAGCUUGCUUCUCUGAUGUUAGCGGCGGACGGGUGAGUAACACGUGGAUAACCUACCUAUAAGACUGGGAUAACUUCGGGAAACCGGAGCUAAUACCGGAUAAUAUUUUGAACCGCAUGGUUCAAAAGUGAAAGACGGUCUUGCUGUCACUUAUAGAUGGAUCCGCGCUGCAUUAGCUAGUUGGUAAGGUAACGGCUUACCAAGGCAACGAUGCAUAGCCGACCUGAGAGGGUGAUCGGCCACACUGGAACUGAGACACGGUCCAGACUCCUACGGGAGGCAGCAGUAGGGAAUCUUCCGCAAUGGGCGAAAGCCUGACGGAGCAACGCCGCGUGAGUGAUGAAGGUCUUCGGAUCGUAAAACUCUGUUAUUAGGGAAGAACAUAUGUGUAAGUAACUGUGCACAUCUUGACGGUACCUCAUCAGAAAGCCACGGCUAACUACGUG
Molecule: ribosomal RNA, 497 nt
Filed under: uncultured bacterium
Lineage: Bacteria
Description: partial 16S ribosomal RNA
Rfam family: Bacterial small subunit ribosomal RNA
Source: RNAcentral